GAAAAGUAAAGGUUCUUUUGUUGUAAAAUGAUGAUUAGGAUGCUGAUCUGUCAACAAUGCAGAAGCUAUAUCUUAAUAUAUCAAACUUUGAGAGAGGUGAAAUUGCUUAUUCUCUUUUUCUACUUACUAAUAACUGCCUUUCUAUCUUUACUAUAUUCUCUAUAUGCUGGAAUCCUGUGUGAAGAAUUAGUGUUGUUUUCUAUUUCUAGAGCUUUAAGACUAUUUAUCUUCUCGAGUGAUGUUUCUGAGACUAUAAACACUUAGAUAUGUUGGUUGUCCUCUUGUUUUCUACAAUUGAUGUCGGUGCCAUUUGCAACAUUUACCACACUGCAAUUUUGCUUUCAUUCUUUACAUCGUCAUUCUUCCCUUGCAAUCAUAUCAAAGGCAUGUAUCUGUUCAAACAAAAUCUAUGUUGCCCAUCCUUUAUAGGUCCUUUUUUUAACACAAUCCUUCAUUUAGAUUUCCAUUCUCAGACCAUUGACACCAAGGCUAGUUGGAAAAUAUCAUCAUCUAUAAUCUCCUUUUAUGCAUAAAAUAUUCCAACAUGUGGAUGCCUUAAAGAUUUGUGUAAUUUCCAGAACUUUUAGCUCAAAGUUUCAAAUGAUUGUUAGAUUCAGUGUCUCUUUGCCAUAGAGCUGCCUAAUUGAAAUUUUUUUUGGUGUAUGCUUCUCUAGUUUUUAACCACUUUGUUUAGAGAAAAGUAACAAAGUUCAACAUGCUUGUCUCUAAUACCAUUUAUGGCCUACACAUAGAGAGUGAGUACUAAAAUACCUUCACUUCAGAUAUUGGGUUUCCCAUCUGCUGAUGUUCCUCCUUUGAUUUGUUGUAUCUUUCAAUCACUGAUUUCAUGCUGUAAGAACACAUUCAAAUUUUAUUAGAGAUGAACAUUGUGCUCUCUGAGAUGUGAACACUUCAUAAAUAAAAUGUCACUAACUACCAAAUGUAUGACUUAGAAAGAAAUUGGAUAUGUUCAUUGAGUUGUGCUUAUGUCAGUUAAAGCUGUAACUAUGGACAUCAAAUAAGAUUUUCAGUUCUUUGGGUUGAAAUUGACUGGAGCACAAACUAAAGAUGCAUUGUCUAUAUAUAUUAUAUAUUAUUUGACUAAAAUUUUGAUGUUGAUAGAUCUAAAGAAGUUU
RNAcentral lists this unclassified non-coding RNA (1136 nucleotides) under Hevea brasiliensis (rubber tree). Lineage: Eukaryota; Viridiplantae; Streptophyta; Magnoliopsida; Malpighiales; Euphorbiaceae. The record is from RNAcentral.